This 485-nucleotide ribosomal RNA is filed under the name uncultured bacterium. RNAcentral's name for it is "bacterial SSU rRNA". It matches the Rfam family "Bacterial small subunit ribosomal RNA", at positions 10 to 507 of the family's 1533-position model. The record is from RNAcentral.
AGUUUGAUCAUGGCUCAGGAUGAACGCUGGCGGCGUGCCUAAUACAUGCAAGUCGAGCGAACCACUUCGGUGGUGAGCGGCGAACGGGUGAGUAACACGUAGGUGAUCUGCCCAUCAGACGGGGACAACGAUUGGAAACGAUCGCUAAUACCGGAUAGGACGAAAGUUUAAAGGUGCUUCUGGCACCGCUGAUGGAUGAGCCUGCGGCGCAUUAGCUAGUUGGUAGGGUAAAGGCCUACCAAGGCGACGAUGCGUAGCCGACCUGAGAGGGUGAACGGCCACACUGGGACUGAGACACGGCCCAGACUCCUACGGGAGGCAGCAGUAGGGAAUCUUCGGCAAUGGGCGAAAGCCUGACCGAGCAACGCCGCGUGAAUGAUGAAGGCCUUCGGGUUGUAAAAUUCUGUUAUAAGGGAAGAACGACUUUAGUAGGAAAUGGCUAGAGUGUGACGGUACCUUAUGAGAAAGCCACGGCUAACUACGUG